AUUGAACGCUGGCGGCAGGCCUAACACAUGCAAGUCGAGCGGAUGAAGGGAGCUUGCUCCUGGAUUCAGCGGCGGACGGGUGAGUAAUGCCUAGGAAUCUGCCUGGUAGUGGGUGAUAACGUCCGGAAACGGGCGCUAAUACCGCAUACGUCCUGAGGGAGAAAGUGGGGGAUCUUCGGACCUCACGCUAUCAUAUGAGCCUAGGUCGGAUUAGCUAGUUGGUGGGGUAAAGGCCUACCAAGGCGACGAUCCGUAACUGGUCUGAGAGGAUGAUCAGUCACACUGGAACUGAGACACGGUCCAGACUCCUACGGGAGGCAGCAGUGGGGAAUAUUGGACAAUGGGCGCAAGCCUGAUCCAGCCAUGCCGCGUGUGUGAAGAAGGUCUUCGGAUUGUAAAGCACUUUAAGUUGGGAGGAAGGGCAGUAAGUUAAUACCUUGCUGUUUUGACGUUACCAACAGAAUAAGCACCGGCUAACUUCGUG
RNAcentral lists this ribosomal RNA (484 nucleotides) under uncultured bacterium. RNAcentral's name for it is "partial 16S ribosomal RNA". It matches the Rfam family "Bacterial small subunit ribosomal RNA", at positions 30 to 507 of the family's 1533-position model. The record is from RNAcentral.